This 460-nucleotide ribosomal RNA is filed under the name uncultured bacterium. Its description in RNAcentral is "partial 16S ribosomal RNA". It matches the Rfam family "Bacterial small subunit ribosomal RNA", at positions 338 to 795 of the family's 1533-position model. The record is from RNAcentral.
CCUACGGGUGGCAGCAGUGAGGAAUAUUGGUCAAUGGACGAGAGUCUGAACCAGCCAAGUAGCGUGAAGGAUGACUGCCCUAUGGGUUGUAAACUUCUUUUAUAUGGGAAUAAAAUGUUCCACGUGUGGGAUUUUGUAUGUACCAUAUGAAUAAGGAUAGGCUAACUCCGUUCCAGCAGCCGCGGUAAUACGGAGGAUCCGAGCGUUAUCCGGAUUUAUUGGGUUUAAAGGGAGCGUAGGUGGAUUGUUAAGUCAGUUGUGAAAGUUUGCGGCUCAACCGUAAAAUUGCAGUUGAAACUGGCAGUCUUGAGUACAGUAGAGGUGGGCGGAAUUCGUGGUGUAGCGGUGAAAUGCUUAGAUAUCACGAAGAACUCCGAUUGCGAAGGCAGUUCACUGGACUGCAACUGACACUGAGGCUCGAAAGUGUGGGUAUCAAACAGGAUUAGAUACCCGGGUAGUC